AAAUGUGACAGUCUACAGUACUGGAAGUAUUGUGCUCCACUGCAGGGUCCUCGGUCCUCAGGUGUUGACGGUGUGGACUUCAGCUUGGGUCAGACAAGGACAGGCUAGUGCUGCUGGUCCGUUGCUUGUGUCGAUCAACGCCCGGAGGUGUGGAUGACCGACGGCCCCGAGGAUUCAAUUCAGUCCCCGGGAAGGCUGGAGAAAAGGGGGAGGCUCUGUCUCAGAGGUCAGGUGAACUGAAGUGGAGCGGGUCGAUCAGCUUGGACACGGGAGGACUGGACUGGAGAUGGGGCUGCCCUCCGAGAUGCCAGCGCAAGUCUGUGUGGCGGUGGGCAGAAGCAUGCGCUUGUGUGGACGACUGAGUUAGUGUGUGAAUGAGUGAAUGUGUUCGAGUGUGUCUCCCAGUGCCUGGCGUACAAGCACAAUGCCCUGCUGUUUUCGCUGUGCCCUCCCUCCCUGCUCCUCGUCAACCUCUGUCCCAACCCCGCAGACCCUCACGUCCAACAUGCAACCCAUGUUCUCUUCUUUUUGACUCCCUUGUUCAUUUAUGAGAGUCUUCUCUUUUCUUCUAACCUCCUCUUUUCCCUUUCGAUCUGUUUAUGGCUUUCAUUGAAGUUUUUUUUUUUCGAGUGUAGGGAGUCGGUCCUUAUUCGACCUCGUGUUUACCGUUCUGAACGGAAAAGUGUGGUUCAUUGUAGUUUUUCAUAUGGAUUUUGUAAUUAAAUAGAUAUAAUUCAAACACUGGAUUGAUACUGAAAGGAUAAUCGCAUGCACAGCAACUGUAUUUAUACUGGAGAAUUAUAAAUAUAUAUUUUAAAAAAACAUGAUGUGUGAAGAUGAAAUAAGUAUGAUGUUUAAAUGCUGCAGAAACUAGAAGAGAUGAUGAGGGGAGCGUCGUUCUUGCCGCCAUGCAGGCGACCGGGACUGAAGAAUGGAUGAAGCCUGUCGGUGAAUGUAUCCGUGAAGGUGUGAAUGUGGACUCCAGACUCGGCGCAGUAGAAGGACACGCGGCCCUCAGUGUAGUCCAGAAACACGCCCACCCUCCUGGGUCUCUGCUCCAGAGCCAACGGCGUGGCAGGAGAGGUGUUGGCAACGAGCUGGCCUCCAGCCUUCAGGCUUAGAGUCCAGAAACCAUUUGCAGGGCAGACGGAGAACUUGCCCUUCCUGUUUAUGGACUGUCUGACAACACCCAGAUUCCACUCCACCUUCCCCCCGACCUCCACCUGCCAGUAGCACCUCCCGCCGCUGAAGCUUUCUUUGGCCAGCACGUUUGCCACACGGUCGAACCUCUUGGGGUGAUCUGGUACCUCUUGAAGCUUGUCCGUAUGCCUCACCUGUUUUCUGUCAUCCGAGACGGAGAGGAAGGGGUGGGCUGUCUUGGCGCUCAGAUUGACAUCCACUAAGGAAGAGGAGGGGAGAAAGUGCCAAGAAUGGGUCAAAUCAUCCAUGUUUUUUGUGUGUACAGUCCUUUAUAUUUAUUUAUCUAAGCCUUACCUAUGUACUUCUCUAUUCUCUUCAGUUCUGUCAAAGGAGAGCCAAAAGAAAGAACAACAUUACAACAUUUAUUGUAGAAUGAAUUAAUGAUUUAAUACACAAGAUAAAAGUUGCUUUACUCACCAGAUUUGGAGAGCCUGUUGACUUCCACCUUCAUCUUCUCCAUUGUGUCUGCCAGUGCUCGCCUGGUGACCCCAACACAUGGGUCAGUUUCUAUAACAACCUUGGACCAAUCCUUCAUCUCAGAGGGGCACGUCGUGGGAACAAUGUUCUGCGUGACGGAAACACAGUUUUCACCGAUGGAAGCCAGUCACCAACGCCGUUGCAUUAUCUACAGAAGGUGCAGGAGAUUACCACGGUGACUUGGUCGUCAUCUUGAUCGCCAACGCGGGGAUCUGGGUCAGUGUUCUCCUUCCUCAGCUCCUGGAUCUCCUGUUCGAUCUCCUUCACCAGUGUUGCCACCCUCUUCUCCUCCUCUCUCUGCCUCCCCUCGAUUGCGUCGACGACGGCUUUGUGACUCUUCUCCAUAGCGUGGACGAGGGCAGAAAAGACCUUCUGGCUCUCUCUCACCUCUCUGAGGUGGAGUUUGUGGUCGAGUCUUCCUGUAGUUAUCUGAGAGUUCUGCCAGAAUCCGGUUGACGCUGAGGUCCGGCCUGUCGCUAAACACUCUCCUGCAGCUGGGGCAGUAUU
Molecule: long non-coding RNA, 2184 nt
Organism: Cyclopterus lumpus (lumpfish)
Lineage: Eukaryota; Metazoa; Chordata; Actinopteri; Perciformes; Cyclopteridae
Exons: 3
Source: RefSeq, a predicted model, not a curated record